GUUUUAAAAUAUAAUACAUUCAAAUAAAACUAAAUUAAAAAAAUUAAUUAAAAAAUUAAAGUGAUUUAAUUAAAGUGAUAAAUAUAUAAGUAUAUAAUUGAAUUCGUAUUAUUCAGAUCAAUUAUAUUCUCGUAUGGCUGUGUGGAGUUUGAAAGGUCAUUGCCCAAGGAUAAGCACACAUCGAUGCAAGAUAAUGAAGUUUCGGUUGACUCGAUAGAUCCGUGCACAAGAAGACAAUUCAAGCGUACCGCUCGUCAGGUUAAUUGAAUUUAUGGCUCGAUAUUCCGGGCGUGAGCGAUUACGAUCGACGAUAAGCCGAGUCGCGUGAACCUUCUACGCGAUGGAUCCUUGUUAACGAAUUCACCUCGAACAAUACCUGGAGAUCGUUAAUCUAACUUUCCGACUUUUCCUUUAUUUAAACAGACUAUUAAAAUGGAAAAUCAGUGAGUCAAAUGUAAAAAAAGAAAUUGUCAUGGAAAUAAUAUCCGAGAAAUAAUCUAAUAUAUUAAAUGUAAUAGUUCAAAAACUAUGAAAAAAUGGAUCUGUCCUUCUCUUGUUGCAAAUUCUUCAAUUGUCAGUCACCACCUCGAAAACAUGAUAGAUAUAAAUCAACUAUCCAUAAAGAACGAUGAGAGAUCAAAGAAUAUUCUUGACGUGAAACAUCGUGGCAUCAUUAAUCAGGAUCAAUUUAUGCAUUGUCAUGAAUAAAAGGUCACAUUACAAUCCAUAAAAUUCAUGAAAUCCAUUUGGAACAAUGAUGAGCUAAAUAUGAACUAAAGGGAUUUUAAUUUAGUACAGACGAGCUUGUGAAAGAUUUCAGUGAGGAGAAUAUUCGAGGUAUAAACCGUCCUGGAAAGCGAAUAAUGUUCUUAUUCUGGAGAAUGGAAGUUACAAUUGAGUGAAACGAUGAUCGCGUAAAGUUGUCGAGAAUCGUUCAAAUUCGAAUCAGUCAGAUAACAUGGAAGUUCGAAGGAGUUAGAAACGCAAACGUGGAUUAGAAUUUCGCUUUUAAUUUAUGCGACAAACAUAUAUAACGAGGUUGAAAAGAUAGCUUUUAUUUUAUUU
Apis florea (little honeybee) is the source of this 1065-nucleotide long non-coding RNA. The record is from RefSeq and is a predicted model, not a curated record. NCBI's taxonomy places the organism in Eukaryota, Metazoa, Arthropoda, Insecta, Hymenoptera, Apidae.